UACAGGGGGUGUAAACGUUGCUCGGAAUCAUUGGGCGUAAAGCGCACGUAGGCGGGCUGUUAUGUCGGAUGUGAAAGCCCUCGGCUCAACUGAGGAAGUGCAUCCGAAACUGGCAGGCUAGAGUACUAAAGAGGGUCGCGGAAUUCCCGGUGUAGAGGUGAAAUUCGUAGAUAUCGGGAGGAACACCGGUGGCGAAGGCGGCGACCUGGGUAGAUACUGACGCUGAGGUGCGAAAGCGUGGGGAGCAAACAGG
RNAcentral lists this ribosomal RNA (253 nucleotides) under uncultured bacterium. RNAcentral describes it as "partial 16S ribosomal RNA". It matches the Rfam family "Bacterial small subunit ribosomal RNA", at positions 524 to 776 of the family's 1533-position model. The record is from RNAcentral.